RNAcentral lists this ribosomal RNA (625 nucleotides) under Staphylococcus aureus. Its description in RNAcentral is "bacterial SSU rRNA". It matches the Rfam family "Bacterial small subunit ribosomal RNA", at positions 180 to 792 of the family's 1533-position model. Lineage: Bacteria; Bacillati; Bacillota; Bacilli; Caryophanales; Staphylococcaceae. The record is from RNAcentral.
UUUGAACCGCAUGGUUCAAAAGUGAAAGACGGUCUUGCUGUCACUUAUAGAUGGAUCCGCGCUGCAUUAGCUAGUUGGUAAGGUAACGGCUUACCAAGGCAACGAUGCAUAGCCGACCUGAGAGGGUGAUCGGCCACACUGGAACUGAGACACGGUCCAGACUCCUACGGGAGGCAGCAGUAGGGAAUCUUCCGCAAUGGGCGAAAGCCUGACGGAGCAACGCCGCGUGAGUGAUGAAGGUCUUCGGAUCGUAAAACUCUGUUAUUAGGGAAGAACAUAUGUGUAAGUAACUGUGCACAUCUUGACGGUACCUAAUCAGAAAGCCACGGCUAACUACGUGCCAGCAGCCGCGGUAAUACGUAGGUGGCAAGCGUUAUCCGGAAUUAUUGGGCGUAAAGCGCGCGUAGGCGGUUUUUUAAGUCUGAUGUGAAAGCCCACGGCUCAACCGUGGAGGGUCAUUGGAAACUGGAAAACUUGAGUGCAGAAGAGGAAAGUGGAAUUCCAUGUGUAGCGGUGAAAUGCGCAGAGAUAUGGAGGAACACCAGUGGCGAAGGCGACUUUCUGGUCUGUAACUGACGCUGAUGUGCGAAAGCGUGGGGAUCAAACAGGAUUAGAUACCCUGGUA